GACGAACGCUGGCGGCGUGCUUAACACAUGCAGGUCGAACGGAAAGGCCCUGCUUUUGUGGGGUGCUCGAGUGGCGAACGGGUGAGUAACACGUGAGGAACCUGCCCUUGACUUUGGGAUAACUUCAGGAAACUGGGGCUAAUACCGGAUAGGAGCUCCUGCUGCAUGGUGGGGGUUGGAAAGUUUCGGCGGUGGGGGAUGGACUCGCGGCUUAUCAGCUUGUUGGUGGGGUAGUGGCUUACCAGGGCUUUGACGGGUAGCCGGCCUGGGAGGGUGACCGGCCACCUUGGGACUGAGGUACGGCCCAGACUCCUACGGGAGGCAGCAGUGGGAAAUAUUGCACAAUGGGCGGAAGCCUGAUGCAGCAACGCCGCGUGCGUGAUGACGGCCUUCGGGUUGUAAACCGCUUUCGCCUGUGACGAAGCGUGAGUGACGGUAAUGGGUAAAGAAGCACCGGCUAACUACGUG
Molecule: ribosomal RNA, 468 nt
Filed under: uncultured bacterium
Lineage: Bacteria
Description: partial 16S ribosomal RNA
Rfam family: Bacterial small subunit ribosomal RNA
Source: RNAcentral